RNAcentral lists this ribosomal RNA (1345 nucleotides) under uncultured bacterium. RNAcentral's name for it is "bacterial SSU rRNA". It matches the Rfam family "Bacterial small subunit ribosomal RNA", at positions 28 to 1380 of the family's 1533-position model. The record is from RNAcentral.
GACGAACGCUGGCGGCGUGCUUAACACAUGCAAGUCGAACGGAAAGGCCCUGCUUUUGUGGGGUGCUCGAGUGGCGAACGGGUGAGUAACACGUGAGUAACCUGCCCUUGACUUUGGGAUAACUUCAGGAAACUGGGGCUAAUACCGGAUAGGAGCUCCUGCUGCAUGGUGGGGGUUGGAAAGUUUCGGCGGUUGGGGAUGGACUCGCGGCUUAUCAGCUUGUUGGUGGGGUAGUGGCUUACCAAGGCUUUGACGGGUAGCCGGCCUGAGAGGGUGACCGGCCACAUUGGGACUGAGAUACGGCCCAGACUCCUACGGGAGGCAGCAGUGGGGAAUAUUGCACAAUGGGCGGAAGCCUGAUGCAGCAACGCCGCGUGCGGGAUGACGGCCUUCGGGUUGUAAACCGCUUUCGCCUGUGACGAAGCGUGAGUGACGGUAAUGGGUAAAGAAGCACCGGCUAACUACGUGCCAGCAGCCGCGGUGAUACGUAGGGUGCGAGCGUUGUCCGGAUUUAUUGGGCGUAAAGGGCUCGUAGGUGGUUGAUCGCGUCGGAAGUGUAAUCUUGGGGCUUAACCCUGAGCGUGCUUUCGAUACGGGUUGACUUGAGGAAGGUAGGGGAGAAUGGAAUUCCUGGUGGAGCGGUGGAAUGCGCAGAUAUCAGGAGGAACACCAGUGGCGAAGGCGGUUCUCUGGGCCUUUCCUGACGCUGAGGAGCGAAAGCGUGGGGAGCGAACAGGCUUAGAUACCCUGGUAGUCCACGCUGUAAACGGUGGGUACUAGGUGUGGGGUCCAUUCCACGGGUUCCGUGCCGUAGCUAACGCUUUAAGUACCCCGCCUGGGGAGUACGGCCGCAAGGCUAAAACUCAAAGGAAUUGACGGGGCCCCGCACAAGCGGCGGAGCAUGCGGAUUAAUUCGAUGCAACGCGUAGAACCUUACCUGGGUUUGACAUGGAUCGGGAGUGCCCAGAGAUGGGUGUGCCUCUUUUGGGGUCGGUUCACAGGUGGUGCAUGGCUGUCGUCAGCUCGUGUCGUGAGAUGUUGGGUUAAGUCCCGCAACGAGCGCAACCCUUGUUCACUGUUGCCAGCACGUUAUGGUGGGGACUCAGUGGAGACCGCCGGGGUCAACUCGGAGGAAGGUGGGGAUGACGUCAAGUCAUCAUGCCCCUUAUGUCCAGGGCUUCACGCAUGCUACAAUGGCUGGUACAGAGAGUGGCGAGCCUGUGAGGGUGAGCGAAUCUCGGAAAGCCGGUCUCAGUUCGGAUUGGGGUCUGCAACUCGACCUCAUGAAGUCGGAGUCGCUAGUAAUCGCAGAUCAGCAACGCUGCGGUGAAUACGUUCCCGGGGC